Molecule: ribosomal RNA, 274 nt
Filed under: uncultured bacterium
Lineage: Bacteria
Description: partial 16S ribosomal RNA
Rfam family: Bacterial small subunit ribosomal RNA
Source: RNAcentral
AUACGGAGGGUCCAAGCGUUAUCCGGAAUCAUUGGGUUUAAAGGGUCCGCAGGCGGUCAAUUAAGUCAGAGGUGAAAGCCCAUCGCUCAACGAUGGAACUGCCUUUGAUACUGGUUGACUUGAGUUAUACGGAAGUAGAUAGAAUAAGUGGUGUAGCGGUGAAAUGCAUAGAUAUUACUUAGAAUACCGAUUGCGAAGGCAGUCUACUACGUAUAUACUGACGCUGAGGGACGAAAGCGUGGGGAGCGAACAGGAUUAGAAACCCUAGUAGUCC